AAUGUAUUUUAUGUUUCCCAAAAGCAUGUGAAAUAUGUGUAGCAUAUUAAAAAUGAGGACGCACUGCCCAUAUGAAUUUUCCUGGGGUGACAUUUCUUCUGCCACUGCACUGCUUGCAAACAAUAGUCUAUGCAAACAAUUUUAAUCUUGUGUAAAGGGGCGGUAUAGCAUAGUGGGUAAGUGUCUAGACUCACUCGUAGCUGGUAGGUUGUGGGUUCAAACACAGCUGUUGUACCUCGUGUGAAGCCCCUUUAUCCCAGUUGCUCCAGUCCACCAUCUCUCUAUCCAGGGGGCCAUAUGCUCUCUGAUCACUUCACACCUAGAAAACGGCAUAAGCUCUGAUGAGCCAUUGAGAGUGCCUCGAAUGGAAUUAUCCAUACAUCCUGCACCAGACUUCUUCCCACAGGUUGAAUUCAAAUAAAGUUCCAAAUUUAUUUAGAACAAAAAAAAAGAAAAGAUUUUUGUUUUUCCACCUGCACUGAAACAAGGUUUUUAAAACUCCUUGUUCAAUUGUGUGAUUUACAGCUCAGCAAACCUCAGACAAUGCAGCCACUUCUCCUCCCUUGUUAAACUCCACUGACAAGAACGUAACAGAGCUCCAUCCCAGGGGUACAGACCUUCGCCUCGCCCUCCCCCUGGCGGUGGCCCCGGUCCUGCUGGCGGUCACAGCUGCUGGAUACUUCAAAAUCCGGAGAAGGAGGGAUUCCAGAAAAGUGGGUGCUGCAGGGCCCCAGGAUUCAGUCAGAGCAUGUGAGAUCCCUGGUGGAGGUGAGCCCGGCGUGAGGGAUCUCACCUACGCCGUUCUGACAUUUCACCCUCGCGUCUCCUCUGAAGAAGCCAGAUAUGCAAACGUCCAGCCGGGCCAGGGGCCGAAAGCCCCGGAGACAGUGGAAUACAGCUCAGUCUCCUUCCUGUCCACUGCAGGGCAAGGACAUCAGGAUGGGAAGUAGGAGAGAGUUACAGGGGCAUUCCUGGGUUUGUGGGUCAGCAAUGGAUCCAGGCAAAAGGGCUGGCAUCUUGCAUCUUAAAUGACAGCACCCACAAGAACACCAUAACCAUCUCGUGCCGGGUUGGAUCAGAGCUCCAUUACCUUAGAGGCAUCAGUGACAAAAGAGAGAUUAACAGAAAUAUUUAUUGCACUUAAAAUUAAUCAAUUAAAAUAAAUUGCCCAGUAAUAUCUUUUCUAGACGCAGGGUGUUAAUGCCUAUGUCUGCAACAGAACGUAUUGGAUCUGAAAGCACUCUGACAUGUUCAGCACACACAAUAAUUAAUCAUUUAGCAAAAACAGAUGACAGAAUCCAAAGGAAUAUCAGGACUGCUUACAAAACUUGUUUUUUCUCCAAAAAUGGACUAUACUUUCCAAGCUUGUUUUAAAUAAGUAAUAAAUCGUCUGCUUACUGGUUUGACCUGUUAAUCAUUUACAAUGGGUUUUGAGAAAACGAGGAAAAAAAGCCUUUGGAAAAUCACCCUGUUAAUAGUUGAACAAGCUUCUUCAUUACGCGUCUCAUAUCCGUAGCUAAGUUGAAUGCGCCCUCUUGUGGUGCCACAAGUGCAAAGGAAGUUAUAAGUUUCUAACUGCUGACGCAACUUAAAAUGUAAUAUCUCCGGCUGAGCAUUCACUACCGUGCUACAAAACAGAAACAUUUGUGUAACAUUAUGUACGUUAUAA
This is a long non-coding RNA of Lepisosteus oculatus (spotted gar), 1669 nucleotides long. The record is from Ensembl. Lineage: Eukaryota; Metazoa; Chordata; Actinopteri; Semionotiformes; Lepisosteidae.